AUUAUAGGAUCCAGUGUCCUGUGAUUCAGGAUGAGAAACAAAGGAGUGGCCUAGAUGUUACACUGUAAAAGAAAAAGUCAAUAAACAAACGCCUGCUUCAACAAACUGUUCAAAGACAGUAUCUCACGCCUGCUUUCUUUCCUCUUUGUAUGUGAAGACACACAGAAGUGCUUUUAUUUUGACCUUUACAUCUGAAAAAAGCUGCUGUGAUACUUCCUACAGUUGUGUAGAUGGAACUGCCGUUCUCUGGCUUUGAGCUGACCUUCAUCAUCAUUGCCUUCGUCAUUUUCUCGCUCUUCGGCUUGGCUUCAGUCUGCAUCCAACCAGAAGCAACACAUACAGAAAAAGGUGUCUGUAAAGCAAAGGGCUCACGACCAUUUCACAGAAAGCAGAGAGUGAUCACCAAGCAAGCUGGACAGAAACCAUGAAGUAAAAGUCAGAGACUUUGAGCUUAAUCUGGUGUACUGCAGGGUUUAAAUGUAAAGUCCUCACAAAUGAACUGAAACAUUUUGAAUAUUUUUUAAUUAAAGAAUGUCAUUAUGGCA
Molecule: long non-coding RNA, 545 nt
Organism: Sander lucioperca (pikeperch)
Lineage: Eukaryota; Metazoa; Chordata; Actinopteri; Perciformes; Percidae
Exons: 3
Source: RefSeq, a predicted model, not a curated record